Oryctolagus cuniculus (rabbit) is the source of this 1053-nucleotide non-coding RNA. NCBI's taxonomy places the organism in Eukaryota, Metazoa, Chordata, Mammalia, Lagomorpha, Leporidae. The record is from RefSeq and is a predicted model, not a curated record.
CCCCACCCCCCGGCCACCAGCAAUCCCCGGGGAAGGCAGACGUUCUUAGAAUUGUUUCAGGCAGCCGGGCUGUCAGGAUGAUGGGUUCUGCACCCAGCAGCUGAACAAAAGAAGAAAACAGUCCCAACAAGGCCCUUCUCACUGCCUCUGACCUCGGAGUGGAGCUAUCAGGAUACAGGAUGGCAAUGGAUUUCUCAUCAGCAGCUCUGCGAAGCUGACUUUGCUGACUGUGGAAUUCUAUACCCAGCCAAAGUAUCAAUCAAGGGUGGGCUUUUCAGCAGCAACACUGGAUGCUGGGAGCAAAGAAACAACAACUUCCAAAUUCUGCAGAAAGGAUGCUUUUGAAGGACUAUGCUUUGGAAAUGAGGGAGUCUGUGAAGAAAGAGGAAGGCGUGGAGCCCACAAAGGGAACGAAGAAGAAACUGGAGUGAUUCUGACACUGAGGAAAGAGAUGCCAGGAUUCCUGCAGGGUCCAGGCACGGUCCAUCAGCUCUCCCUGCCUGCGGACUCUAGCUCCCUAGCUGGUGCUGCAGAUCCAGAACAGCUCACCGAGUCCCCUUCCAGCCCCAUCUGGCUUCCUCACUACCUCACCCACUGCAGAUCCUGAGCCACCUCCUGUUCCCUCCACUGGGCAAACAGAGACUUCUGGCUCCUUCCAUGCCUUGUAGAAAUUUAGGAGGAUGGGCCUGCUGUUACCUAUUGUCUUGAGUUGAAUGCCCCACCCUAGUUGUUCCAUCUUCUUCGUGUUUUUUUUUUUUUUCAAUUUGCAAGGGUGGAGACCAGAUAGGUUGAUAGAUAGGAAUAUACUCCCGCAUGGACUCACCCCCGAGAUGUUCACCAUGGGCUGGAGUCAGGAGCCUGGCUUUCAAUCCAGAUCUCCCACACGGAGACCACCACUGAGACAACCACUGGUGAGAAGCUGCAGUCAGGAGCCAGAUCCAGGAACUGAACCCUGAGCACUCGGGAUACGGGUGUCUGAGCCGGCAGGCUACAAGCUUGAUCCCCCUCAUCUUAUAAACAGGAUGAUAACAAGACCAGUUUGAGAUUUGCAUG